RNAcentral lists this long non-coding RNA (781 nucleotides) under Venturia canescens. RNAcentral's name for it is "uncharacterized LOC122409730, transcript variant X2". Lineage: Eukaryota; Metazoa; Arthropoda; Insecta; Hymenoptera; Ichneumonidae. The record is from RNAcentral.
AUCUGCAGCUAAUCAAAAGAACGAGUGAUAAUUUUUUCAAGUUAUACACAACUAUUUGCAACACAAGGAAACUCUUAGAAGAACGAGACUUGCAUUGACAAUUCAUGAAUAUUUGCUCAGUACCAACCUAUAAAUGUCGCCUUCGUUGAUUAAAAAUUAAAAAAUGAGAAGAUGUUUCGAGAUCUAAGAAAAAUUACCAUCAUUCUGACAGACUGCAGUAAACAUGGUCGUGAAGGUCACGAACGGUUACUCGAGAGAAUUAGCAACAUUCGAAUGCUUUUGUCUUUCACAAGGAAGCAAACUAAAUGUGCGCACUGGGCAUAAUGCUUUAUGAACCGUGCCGAUGGAUCCGUGAUUCCCUUGACCCAGCGUGGCAUCCAAUAGUACGGAAUGAAACUUUCGGCGUAUCCACCAAAAUGCUGCUCAAAAACUCGCCUGGAAAUCAUGAGGAUAGUGAACACGUCAACGGGGAAAAAUCGUCUGAAACUGCAAUUUAACAACGUUCACAAAAUACCUGUAAUAAUAAGCUUCCUUCGUUUUUGGUGUACAAUGCGGAAACGUAACUGGAGCCUUCUCCAGGUCAGAGUCUUGAACUCUUUCUUCAACGAUUUCUUGAAUGAUUUGGAACAAAGAUUUUUUUAUUGACGCUACACCAUCGCUGAAGGCUUCCUUGUGUCGCCAUAAAAUGUUUUGUGGCAGUAAAUUUAUUCCGUCGAACGAUGACCUCAGCAAAUGCUUCUCCACUCCGUCUUUGGAUAAAUAAACAAAAUGAAUAAUGGAA